ACAGAUAAGCUGUGUGAUUCCUCUCUCUCAUAUUAUUGCUUCUUUUAGGAGUUCUAGAGCUCUAUAAACUGUGAAACUUUGUUUAAGAAAACAUUAUUAAGACAUUGUGAGAUUGAUUAAUCGUUUUUUACUGAGCUCACAGUGUAGAUAGUGCUUUUAAACCUGACUUUUGCACUUCAUGAGUUCUGUAUUUUCUGCCUCGUGCAGGAGGGAGAGAGUGCACGUGUGUGUGUGUGCGCUAAUUUUGCUCCAUGUCACGUGUUCAGGAAAUAAAUGAAGACCUUCAGUUCUCUGACUUCGUGUGGUUGAUUAUUGUCUCCUGAGCUGUCCGACCUGUUGACGUCUGCUACAACUGCAUAAAUACUAAUGAGACAGAAUAAGUAUACAGUAGACCCUUGAGUUACGAAUGGUUUACCAUACGAACAUUUUGGUUUUUUCGGUGUUGUCUUUAUAUUUUGUAAAAUUCAAUAUUAAAAUGGCCCCAAAUAAGGUGCAGAGAAAGCUUAGUGGUGAUAAAAUGAACAAAUCUAUUACAUUUGUUGUUGUAUAAUUACUCCUGCCAGUAGCUGUCACUGUGUAUCAGACAGAGGGAAUAGUGAGUGACAGAGAAGAAGGAAGUCCGCUGAGUAAAGUAUUCUUUCUUUCGUGCAAUUACACCUACAAAAUACAACACUAUUGAAAUAAAGAAGGAAAUAAUAGAGAAA
Trichomycterus rosablanca is the source of this 704-nucleotide long non-coding RNA. RefSeq lists it as uncharacterized. The record is from RefSeq and is a predicted model, not a curated record. Lineage: Eukaryota; Metazoa; Chordata; Actinopteri; Siluriformes; Trichomycteridae. The transcript has 2 exons.